UACAGAGGUCUCAAGCGUUGUUCGGAUUCAUUGGGCGUAAAGGGUGCGUAGGUGGCGCGGUAAGUCGGGUGUGAAAUCUCGGAGCUUAACUCCGAAAUUGCAUUCGAUACUGCCGUGCUCGAGGACUGGAGAGGAGACUGGAAUUCAUGGUGUAGCAGUGAAAUGCGUAGAGAUCAGGAGGAACACCGGUGGCGAAGGCGGGAUCCUGGGCCAGUACUGACGCUGAGGAGCGAAAGCGUGGGGAGCAA
Molecule: ribosomal RNA, 248 nt
Filed under: uncultured bacterium
Lineage: Bacteria
Description: partial 16S ribosomal RNA
Rfam family: Bacterial small subunit ribosomal RNA
Source: RNAcentral